This is a non-coding RNA of Mycena vulgaris, 88 nucleotides long. Lineage: Eukaryota; Fungi; Basidiomycota; Agaricomycetes; Agaricales; Mycenaceae. The record is from the annotation of a GenBank genome assembly.
GGCUCGGUGGCGGGUGCUCCGCGUCUGCAACUUGUAGAGCGAUAAUCUGUUGCUGCAGGAGGUGCUCGUUCGACUCGAGCCCGAGCCA